This 237-nucleotide unclassified non-coding RNA is filed under the name uncultured fungus. RNAcentral describes it as "sequence contains ITS2". The stretch from base 1 to 52 matches the Rfam family "5.8S ribosomal RNA", at positions 103 to 154 of the family's 154-position model. The record is from RNAcentral. Lineage: Eukaryota; Fungi.
AACGCACAUUGCGCCCUCUGGUAUUCCGGGGGGCAUGCCUGUUCGAGCGUCAUUACAACCCUCAAGCUUUGCUUGGUAUUGGGUGCUACCGUUUUGGUACACCUUAAAAUCAGUGGCGGUGCCACCUGGCUUCUAGCGUAGUAAUACUCCUCGCUAUGGAGAUGGGUGUAUACUUGCCAUAACCCCCAAUUUCGUAAGGUUGACCUCGGAUCAGGUAGGGAUACCCGCUGAACUUAA